GGGUCAGUAGGUUGGUCGUGCCACCGGUACGUACUGGUCUCACUGAUUCCUCCUUCCUGAAGAACCGUAAUGCCAUUAAUUUGGUGUUGCGGGGAAACAGGACUGUUACUUUGAAAAAAUUAGAGUGUUUAAAGCAAGCUAACGCUUGAAUACAUUAGCAUGGAAUAAUGGAAUAGGACGAUCGAUCCUAUUUUGUUGGUUUCUGGGAUUGACGUA
Molecule: ribosomal RNA, 216 nt
Filed under: Glomeromycotina sp.
Lineage: Eukaryota; Fungi; Glomeromycota
Description: partial small subunit ribosomal RNA
Rfam family: Eukaryotic small subunit ribosomal RNA (bases 40-216)
Source: RNAcentral